GGUGAGUGAAAGUGCAAUAGCAGAAAGCUAACACAUUUUAAUCCAGGUCAUCUGGGUGAAUAACAGUGUAUUUAAACCAUGAGGCCAAUAGCAGCUCUCAAUCAUUGCUGUUUUGUUUUGGAUCACUAUGGAGUGAGCCAUUGAAUUUGCUCAGUUCAGUUGGUACCAUGGAUAUUUAUCAUGCUAAAAGGGACAGCCUGUGGAGCUUUAAUUAAAGUUUUUGUCAUUUUUAUUCACGGGUGGUAAGAAACUUGACAAAUGAUCAUGUUUGGUAUAACUUUUAGUCAAGGAAUUAGAUGCAACUAUGAUAUUUCUAAACUGCAUACAAUAUUUAUUUUGGUCUAUGAGUAUAGUUUGUCUAUAGUACCUAAUAAUGUCAUUAGUAUUUACUUUAUUCAACUUUUUUUCUCUCAAUCUCCUGUUGUAUCACCAUGGAGUUUUGUGGACAUUCAUUUUGUGACUUAUAAAUGUUGAUUUGUAUUACUAAUAGUGCAUAUAGUCGUUACUAAUGAUAACAUUAAUUUAAUAUCAAAAAUCCUGUUAUGAACAAGUUUGAAGGUAAAGGCUUUCGAGUGAUUGCUGUAAAAGUCGUUGAGGGACGUAAAGAGUUAAUUUGUCGCUCUCUGUUGAACGCUGUGAUGGGCUGCGAGAUCAUUCGAGAGUGCAUUUUCAGCGUCCAAUCAGCUGCGCGGAGUCCACUCCGCAUUCAGCCAAUAGGGAGAAUGGGAGGCUCUAUCGAAUUUGAAUGAGGAGUGUAUCUUUCGGCGCCAUUUUCGAGUGAGCAGCGAUUGCCUCAGCAGCUGCGGAGAGAGGAUGCUGCGAAUAUAUGAAGCUGUCGCUGAGACGGGGAGAAACCAAGCGCUCAAAAUUAAACUGCGCUUUUAGAGAGGGAAAUCACGUAAUUUCAACGGAAACACAGUUGGAGAGCCUCGCCUGCUUUCGGAGUGGACAGGAGACUUCGAUCUGCAAAAGAUGCUGAUGAUCAUCUGAACGUCCUUUAGGUAGAUAAACGAUAGGUGAUAAGUCUGUACCCAUCUGUGAACAUAUGGUAAGGACUUGAAGCCUGGAAGAUGAAGAGAGUGCAAACAACACAGUAGAUGAGAAGAGCUGGAAGCGGAGGGACCAUGACUGCAGUUCUGGCAAUGCUGUAGCAGCACGGAAUGGUUUGUGGGUUACACAGAGAUGCAGGCCAUACUGUGCUGCAGCAGUAAAGCCUGAAUGUACAACCUGGCUGCCACCUAUCAGUUCUUUAACAUGCUGCCUUUGUUCAGUGAUUGAAGUUUGUUGUUUAGUAUCACUCUUGCAUACACAGUAGUCUUCACUGUCUGAAUUAAUGUCACAUAGUCAGCUGUUUUCCUGAUAGUAAAUUUAUCCUUCUCAUUUACUGGUCGCUUUACUGUAGCAGCACGUAAAUAUUGGAGUUAAGACUAGCUGAAACCUCCAGUAUUGAUCGUGCUGCUGAAGCAAAGCUGACCACUCACAAUCAGUGCAACUGACCACCCAGUGUACUCAGUCAACCCUGGUGGUGUUAAACAGUGGAUUUGCUUAAGAGAUGCUCACAGGUACAUUAUUUACUCACACAUUCUGAGUUAAUACGAUAUUGUUUUGAUAGUUAAAAUGUGAAUACAGCAUAUUUUUACAUUUCAUUGUUAUGUCUGCACACUUGCAAAAAUAAAAUUUUAAAUGGG
Long non-coding RNA from Seriola aureovittata, 1688 nucleotides. RefSeq lists it as uncharacterized. NCBI's taxonomy places the organism in Eukaryota, Metazoa, Chordata, Actinopteri, Carangiformes, Carangidae. The record is from RefSeq and is a predicted model, not a curated record. The transcript has 2 exons.